AGAAUCAACGCUGGCGGCGUGCCUAACACAUGCAAGUCGAACGAGAAAGUGGAGCAAUCCAUGAGUACAGUCGGCGACCGGGUGAGUAACACGUGACUACCUACCCUUGAGUGGGGGAUAACCUCGGGAAACCGAGGCUAAUACCGCAUAAUAUCGAGAGAUCAAAGGAGCAAUUCGCUUUUGGAGGGGGUCGCGGCUGAUUAGCUAGUUGGCGGGGUAAUGGCCCACCAAGGCGAAGAUCGGUAUCCGGCCUGAGAGGGCGCACGGACACACUGGAACUGAAACACGGUCCAGACUCCUACGGGAGGCAGCAGUGGGGAAUUUUGCGCAAUGGGGGGAAACCCUGACGCAGCAACGCCGCGUGGAGGAUGAAGCCCCUUGGGGUGUAAAACUCCUUUCGACCGGGAAAAUAAUGAUGGUACCGGUGGAAGAAGCACCGGCUAAACUCUGCGCCAGCACGCCGC
This 464-nucleotide ribosomal RNA is filed under the name uncultured bacterium. RNAcentral's name for it is "SSU rRNA". It matches the Rfam family "Bacterial small subunit ribosomal RNA", at positions 26 to 518 of the family's 1533-position model. The record is from RNAcentral.